CCAGCCUCACGGAGGAGAACGACUUGCCCAAGCUGACUCUGCUGGGAAGGAAUGGCGGAGGGAUUUGAAACCAGGACUUUUCCCUCUACUUCGCCUGGCUCCAGGCUCCCCAGGGCCCCAGGGACCCUCUCUGCGCCCCUACGCGACCAGUGCUGUGACUUCCUCCCUGAGCAGCCCCGGCUGCGCCUCCAGGGACCGGCUGGGUUUGGAGGCAGCGGCUGGCUAAGUGAUGCAGGUAAAGGCGGGUUUGUCUGUCUGCAGUCCCUGCUUCUUCCCACUGAUUCUCUCGUCUCCCCGGAGCCCCAGCUUUUUAAGGCUUCCACGUCUUGACAUUGGCGACGCCACCGAAAUGAAGACAUUCUCAAGCAAUCAGAAUAAAGCGGCAAUGACCCAGUGAGGAAGGAAAAUGAGCACAGCCUGCCCUGGUCACACAAUUAAAACAUAUACGCUGGCCAAAGGUGCCAUUGCUUCCCUUCACCUUGUAAACCUGUCCAGUGCCCAGGGUCACCAUGAAUAAUCUGACAGACAGCAUGCUGCUCACAUCCAGAAUGGGAGCUCAAAGGGCAGAACAGCAGAGACCAUCCUACUCCUUGAAUUUUGUGCAACACUUGCUCAAGUCCUUUCCAUUAUUCCAGCCUUGGGAUCAAAAUAUGUCCUUCUAGUUGUGGGAUGUGGGACGCCGCCUCAACGUGGCCGGACGAGCGGUGCCAUGUCCGCGCCCAGGAUCCGAACCCUGGGCCGCUGCAGCCGAGCGCACGAACUUAACCACUCGGCCACGGAGCGGGCCCCUGAACUCAUAUUUUAAAUAAAG
This 811-nucleotide long non-coding RNA is filed under the name Equus caballus (horse). RNAcentral's name for it is "lncRNA (ENSECAG00000049205.1)". Lineage: Eukaryota; Metazoa; Chordata; Mammalia; Perissodactyla; Equidae. The record is from RNAcentral.